CCUACGGGUGGCAGCAGUGAGGAAUAUUGGUCAAUGGGCGGGAGCCUGAACCAGCCAAGCCGCGUGAAGGAUGAAGGCGCCAGGCGUCGUAAACUUCUUUUGUCGGGGAACAAAGGGCGCCACGUGUGGCGUUGUGAGUGUACUCUAUGAAUAAGCAUCGGCUAACUCCGUGCCAGCAGCCGCGGUAAUACGGAGGCUGCGAGCGUUAUCCGGAUUUAUUGGGUUUAAAGGGUGCGUAGGGGGUCGGGAAAGUCAGCGGUAAAAGCCCGGGGCUCAACCCCGGCGAGCCGUUGAAACUGUCGGACUAGAGACGGGGAGAAGUACGCGGAAUGCGCGGUGUAGCGGUGAAAUGCAUAGAUAUCGCGCAGAACUCCGAUUGCGAAGGCAGCGUACCGACGGCGGACUGACGCUGAGGCACGAAAGCGUGGGUAUCAAACAGGAUUAGAUACCCUAGUAGUC
Molecule: ribosomal RNA, 459 nt
Filed under: uncultured bacterium
Lineage: Bacteria
Description: partial 16S ribosomal RNA
Rfam family: Bacterial small subunit ribosomal RNA
Source: RNAcentral